Molecule: ribosomal RNA, 510 nt
Filed under: uncultured bacterium
Lineage: Bacteria
Description: partial 16S ribosomal RNA
Rfam family: Bacterial small subunit ribosomal RNA
Source: RNAcentral
GACGAACGCUGGCGGCGUGCUUAACACAUGCAAGUCGAACGAAGAGCGAUGGAAGCUUGCUUCUAUCAAUCUUAGUGGCGCACGGGUGAGUAACGCGUAAUCAACCUUCCCUUCAGAGGGGGACAACAGUUGGAAACGACUGCUAAUACCGCAUACGAUCUAAUCUCAGCAUCGAGGAUAGAUUAAAGGUGGCCUCUACAUGUAAGCUAUCACUGAAGGAGGGGAUUGCGUCUGAUUAGCUAGUUGGAGGGGUAACGGCCCACCAAGGCGAUGAUCAGUAGCCGGUCUGAGAGGAUGAACGGCCACAUUGGGACUGAGACACGGCCCAGACUCCUACGGGAGGCAGCAGUGGGGAAACUUCCGCAAUGGACGAAAGUCUGACGGAGCAACGCCGCGUGAGUGAUGACGGCCUUCGGGUUGUAAAGCUCUGUUAAUCGGGACGAAAGGCCUUCUUGCGAAUAGUGAGAAGGAUUGACGGUACCGGAAGAGAAAGCCACGGCUAACUACGUG